This 397-nucleotide ribosomal RNA is filed under the name uncultured bacterium. RNAcentral describes it as "bacterial SSU rRNA". It matches the Rfam family "Bacterial small subunit ribosomal RNA", at positions 28 to 429 of the family's 1533-position model. The record is from RNAcentral.
GACGAACGCUGGCGGCGUGCUUAACACAUGCAAGUCGAGCGGUAAGGCCCUUUCGGGGGUACACGAGCGGCGAACGGGUGAGUAACACGUGGGUGACCUGCCCUCAGCUCUGGGAUAAGCCUGGGAAACCGGGUCUAAUACUGGAUAUGACUCCAUGACGCAUGUUGUGGGGUGGAAAGCCUUGUGCGGCUGAGGAUGGGCCCGCGGCCUAUCAGCUUGUUGGUGGGGNGAUGGCCUACCAAGGCGACGACGGGUAGCCGGCCUGAGAGGGCGACCGGCCACACUGGGACUGAGACACGGCCCAGACUCCUACGGGAGGCAGCAGUGGGGAAUCUUGCGCAAUGGGCGAAAGCCUGACGCGGCGACGCCGCGUGAGGGAUGACGGCCUCGGUGUAAC